RNAcentral lists this small nuclear RNA (20 nucleotides) under Arabidopsis thaliana (thale cress). RNAcentral's name for it is "snRNA_08146". Lineage: Eukaryota; Viridiplantae; Streptophyta; Magnoliopsida; Brassicales; Brassicaceae. The record is from RNAcentral.
CCGCCCAAUAUCAGUCGGAA